AUACGUAGGUGACAAGCGUUAUCCGGAUUUACUGGGCGUAAAGGGCGUGUAGGCGGUCUUGCAAGUCAGAAGUGAAAUUCCUGAGCUCAACUCGGGCGCUGCUUCUGAAACUGCAGGACUUGAGUGCUGGAGGGGAUAGCGGAAUUCCUAGUGGAGCGGUAAAAUGCGCAGAUAUUAGGAAGAACACCGGUGGCGAAGGCGGCUAUCUGGAAAGUAACUGACGCUGAGGCGCGAAAGCGUGGGGAGCAAACAGGAUUAGAUUCCCUGGUAGUCCACGCCGUAAACGAUGAAUACUAGGUGUAGGGGGUAUCGACUCCCUCUGUGCCGCAGUUAACACAAUAAGUAUUCCGCCUGGGGAGUACGGCCGCAAGGUUGAAACUCAAAUGAAUUGGCGGGG
This 397-nucleotide ribosomal RNA is filed under the name uncultured bacterium. RNAcentral's name for it is "partial 16S ribosomal RNA". It matches the Rfam family "Bacterial small subunit ribosomal RNA", at positions 523 to 918 of the family's 1533-position model. The record is from RNAcentral.